Molecule: unclassified non-coding RNA, 413 nt
Filed under: soil metagenome
Description: partial contains 5.8S ribosomal RNA, internal transcribed spacer 2, and large subunit ribosomal RNA
Rfam family: 5.8S ribosomal RNA (bases 1-120)
Source: RNAcentral
GAUGAAGAACGCAGCGAAAUGCGAUAAGUAAUGUGAAUUGCAGAAUUCAGUGAAUCAUCGAAUCUUUGAACGCACCUUGCGCUCCUUGGUAUUCCUUGGAGCAUGCCUGUUUGAGUAUCAUGAGCAAAUCUCAAAGUCGAUCCUUUUGUUAAUUCAAUUGGUUUGCUUUGGACUUGGAGGCCUUGCAGAUUUCACCGUCUGCUCCUCUUAAAUGCAUUAGCUGGAUCUCAGUAUUAUGCUUGGUUCCACUCGGCGUGAUAAGUAUCACUCGCUGAGGACACUGUAAAAGGUGGCCAGGAAAAUACUGAUCGAACCGCUUCUAACGGUCUAUUAACUUAGACAAUUGCCCUUAAGUUUGAUCUCAAAUCAGGUAGGACUACCCGCUGAACUUAAGCAUAUCAAUAAGCGGAGGA